UUUACUCAAAUUUGUAUAGAGUUGGAACGUUUGCCGCUGGGGCGCUCUUCCAAUUGCAUACAAAUUUGAGUUA
RNAcentral lists this microRNA precursor (73 nucleotides) under Bombyx mori (domestic silkworm). RNAcentral's name for it is "mir-2807 microRNA precursor family". It matches the Rfam family "mir-2807 microRNA precursor family". Lineage: Eukaryota; Metazoa; Arthropoda; Insecta; Lepidoptera; Bombycidae. The record is from Rfam by way of RNAcentral.